RNAcentral lists this transfer RNA (86 nucleotides) under subsurface metagenome. RNAcentral's name for it is "tRNA-Leu". It matches the Rfam family "tRNA". From Rfam's summary of the family: Transfer RNA (tRNA) molecules are approximately 80 nucleotides in length. Their secondary structure includes four short double-helical elements and three loops (D, anti-codon, and T loops). The record is from RNAcentral.
GCCGGGGUGAUGGAAUUGGUAGACAUAGCGGACUUAAAAUCCGCUGCUCUUUUAGAGCGUGCCGGUUCGAGUCCGGCCCUCGGCAC